AACGCGAAGAACCUUACCUACCCUUGACAUCUAGCGAAUCUGGCUUAAGGGCCAGAGUGCCGAAAGGAGCGCUAAGACAGGUGCUGCAUGGCUGUCGUCAGCUCGUGUCGUGAGAUGUUGGGUUAAGUCCCGUAACGAGCGCAACCCCUAUCCUUCGUUGCCAUGCCGUAAGGCGGAACUCGAAGGAGACUGCCGGUGACAAACCGGAGGAAGGUGGGGAUGACGUCAAGUCAUCAUGGCCUUUAUGGGUAGGGCUACACACGUACUACAAUGGGAUGGAACAGAGGGUCGCCAACCCGCGAGGGGGAGCCAAUCCCGUAAAACAUCUCGUAGUCCAGAUUGGAGUCUGCAACUCGACUCCAUGAAGUUGGAAUCGCUAGUAAUCGCGGAUCAGAAUGCCGCGGUGAAUACGUUCCCGGGCCUUGUACACACCGAUAGC
RNAcentral lists this ribosomal RNA (439 nucleotides) under uncultured bacterium. RNAcentral's name for it is "bacterial SSU rRNA". It matches the Rfam family "Bacterial small subunit ribosomal RNA", at positions 958 to 1397 of the family's 1533-position model. The record is from RNAcentral.